UACUGGUUGAUCCUGCCAGUAGUCAUAUGCUUGUCUCAAAGAUUAAGCCAUGCAUGUCUCAGUGCAGGCCUUUAUACGGUGAAACCGCGAAUGGCUCAUUAAAUCAGCUAUGGUUUAUUGGAUCGUACCCGUUAAAUGGAUAACUGUAAUAACUCUAGAGCUAAUACAUGCCACGAUGCCCUGACCCUCGCGGGGAUGGGUGCACUUAUUAGAUCAGAAGCCAACCGUGCACGGUCGAAAGGCCAUGCAUGUUGCCCUUCUGGUGACUCUGGAUAAUUGUUACAGAUCGCAGUCGGCCUUGAGUCGGCGACGGGUCCUUCAAAUGUCUGCCCUAUCAACUUUCGAUGGUAGGUGACCUGCCUACCAUGGUGAUAACGGGUAACGGGGAAUCAGGGUUCGAUUCCGGAGAGGGAGCCUGAGAAACGGCUACCACUUCCAAGGGAGGCAGCAGGCGCGCAAAUUACCCACUCCCGGUACGGGGAGGUGGUGACGAAAAAUACCGAUGCGGGACUCCCCAAAGAGGCUCCGUAAUCGGAAUGAGUGGACUAUAAAUCCUUUCACGAGGAUCCAUUGGAGGGCAAGUCUGGUGCCAGCAGCCGCGGUAACUCCAGCUCCAAUAGCGUAUAUUAAAGUUGCUGCAGUUAAAAAGCUCGUAGUUGGAUCUCGGUAGGACUGUGACCUGUCGGAUUUGGGUGGAUGGCUGAUGGGGCGUGGACUCUGUCCGUGCUGCCGACGCUGUUCAUUUCAGGCUGACAAGGUGGCGGUGCUACCUUUAAGCCAUGUCUGUGGUGUAAUAGCCGCAGGUGUAGGCGAGUGUCUGGCGACGCCUUGCGUCAGCAGGGCUUGUCGGCUCGUUUGCAUGCUCUUGGAUGCCCUUUAAAAGGUGUCUGUGGGCGGAUGGCACGUUUACUUUGAACAAAUUUGAGUGCUCAAAUCAGGCCGAUGUUGCCUGUAAAGUUUUGCAUGGAAUAAUGGAAUAGGACUUCGGUUCUAUUUCGUUGGUUUUCGGAUCCGAAGUAAUGAUCAAAAGAGACAGGCGGGGACGUUUGUAUGGCUGCGCUAGAGGUGAAAUUCAUGGACCGUAAGCCAGACAAACUAAAAGCGAAAGCAUUUCGUCAAGCAUGUUUUCAUUUGGCCAUGAGCGAAAGUCAGAGGCUCGAAGACGAUCAGAUACCGUCCUAGUUCUGACCAUAAACGAUGCCAACUGACGAUCCGUGGUGGUAGUCUCUCAACCUUCCCCACGGGCAGUCCCCGGGAAACCUUUAAGUCUUUGGGUUCCGGGGGAAGUAUGGUUGCAAAGCUGAAACUUAAAGGAAUUGACGGAAGGGCACCACCAGGAGUGGAGCCUGCGGCUUAAUUUGACUCAACACGGGAAAACUCACCCGGGCCGGACACUAUGAGGAUUGACAGAUUGAUAGCUCUUUCUUGAUUUGGUGGUUGGUGGUGCAUGGCCGUUCUUAGUUGGUGGAGCGAUUUGUCUGGUUAAUUCCGAUAACGAACGAGACUCCAGCCUGCUAAUUAGUGCACUUGUCUACUGUGCCUGUGUAGGCGGCGCCGUCGAUAUUGAGGCCGAGAGGCCGGGCUGUGGCUGCUUCUGGUGGCUGCUGUUUGGUAUUUUGGCUUUCAGUUGGUGUGGCGUUAGCGUCCGGGCGCGGCGCGAGUGAUUACUUCUUAGAGGGACAAGCGGUAGAAAGCCGCACGAAAUAGAGCAAUAACAGGUCUGUGAUGCCCUUAGAUGUCCGGGGCCGCACGCGCGCUACAAUGACGGUGGCAACGAGUGAGACCUUCUGGCCCGAAAGGGUUGGGUAAACUGGUCAAUCACCGUCAUGACAGGGAUCGGGGCUUGGAAUUGUUCCCCGUGAACGAGGAAUUCCUAGUAAGUGCAAGUCAUAAGCUUGCGCUGAUUACGUCCCUGCCCUUUGUACACACCGCCCGUCGCUACUACCGAUUGAAUGGUUUAGUAAGGUCCUUAGAUUGGUGCCAUUGCGGCAGUUACCGUGAGGUGACGGCCCGACAGGCACCGAGAAG
RNAcentral lists this ribosomal RNA (2028 nucleotides) under Nippotaenia mogurndae. RNAcentral describes it as "SSU rRNA". It matches the Rfam family "Eukaryotic small subunit ribosomal RNA". The record is from RNAcentral. Lineage: Eukaryota; Metazoa; Platyhelminthes; Cestoda; Nippotaeniidea; Nippotaeniidae.